GAUGAACGCUGGCGGCGUGCCUAAUACAUGCAAGUCGAGCGAACAGACGAGGAGCUUGCUCCUCUGACGUUAGCGGCGGACGGGUGAGUAACACGUGGAUAACCUACCUAUAAGACUGGGAUAACUUCGGGAAACCGGAGCUAAUACCGGAUAAUAUAUUGAACCGCAUGGUUCAAUAGUGAAAGACGGUUUUGCUGUCACUUAUAGAUUGAUCCGCGCCGCAUUAGCUAGUUGGUAAGGUAACGGCUUACCAAGGCAACGAUGCGUAGCCGACCUGAGAGGGUGAUCGGCCAAACUGGAACUGAGACACGGUACAGAGUCCUACGGGAGGCAGCAGUAGGGAAUAUUACGCAAUGGGCGAAAGCCUGACGGAGCAACGCGGAGUGAGUGAUGAAGGUCUUCGGAUCGUAAAACUCUGUUAUUAGGGAAGAACAAAUGUGUAAGUAACUAUGCACGUAUUGACGGUACCUAAUCAGAAAGCCACGGCUAACUACGUG
Molecule: ribosomal RNA, 497 nt
Filed under: uncultured bacterium
Lineage: Bacteria
Description: partial 16S ribosomal RNA
Rfam family: Bacterial small subunit ribosomal RNA
Source: RNAcentral